AAAAAUCUUCAGGGCAGGGUGUGAGUCCCUACCGGUGGUAUAGUCCACGAGCGUUAGCAUGAAUCGGUGAAAUUCCGAUACCGACAGUAAAGUCUGGAUGAAAGAAGAUAUAA
This 113-nucleotide non-coding RNA is filed under the name Helcococcus kunzii. Its description in RNAcentral is "FMN sequence". It matches the Rfam family "FMN riboswitch aptamer (RFN element)". Rfam says of the family: The RFN element is a highly conserved domain that is found frequently in the 5'-untranslated regions of prokaryotic mRNAs that encode for flavin mononucleotide (FMN) biosynthesis and transport proteins. This element is a metabolite-dependent riboswitch that directly binds FMN in the absence of proteins. The record is from RNAcentral. Lineage: Bacteria; Bacillati; Bacillota; Tissierellia; Tissierellales; Peptoniphilaceae. RNAcentral also lists the same sequence under 1 other name.